AGUGAACGCUGGCGGUAGGCCUAACACAUGCAAGUCGAACAGCAGCACAGUAAGAGCUUGCUCUUACGGGUGGCGAGUGGCGGACGGGUGAGGAAUACAUCGGAAUCUACUUUUUCGUGGGGGAUAACGUAGGGAAACUUACGCUAAUACCGCAUACGACCUACGGGUGAAAGCAGGGGAUCUUCGGACCUUGCGCGAUUGAAUGAGCCGAUGUCGGAUUAGCUAGUUGGCGGGGUAAAGGCCCACCAAGGCGACGAUCCGUAGCUGGUCUGAGAGGAUGAUCAGCCUCACUGGAACUGAGACACGGUCCAGACUCCUACGGGAGGCAGCAGUGGGGAAUAUUGGACAAUGGGCGCAAGCCUGAUCCAGCCAUACCGCGUGGGUGAAGAAGGCCUUCGGGUUGUAAAGCCCUUUUGUUGGGAAAGAAAAGCAGCAGGUUAAUACCCCGCUGUUCUGACGGUACCCAAAGAAUAAGCACCGGCUAACUUCGUG
This 492-nucleotide ribosomal RNA is filed under the name uncultured bacterium. RNAcentral's name for it is "partial 16S ribosomal RNA". It matches the Rfam family "Bacterial small subunit ribosomal RNA", at positions 29 to 507 of the family's 1533-position model. The record is from RNAcentral.